Molecule: ribosomal RNA, 450 nt
Filed under: uncultured bacterium
Lineage: Bacteria
Description: bacterial SSU rRNA
Rfam family: Bacterial small subunit ribosomal RNA
Source: RNAcentral
UUAGGAAUUUUGCGCAAUGGGCGAAAGCCUGACGCAGCAACGCCGCGUGAGUGAUGAAGGCCUUCGGGUUGUAAAGCUCUUUUAGUUGGGAAAAACACAAUGAUGGUACCAACAGAAACAGCACCGGCUAACUCUGUGCCAGCAGCCGCGGUAAUACAGAGGGUGCAAGCGUUAUUCGGAAUUAUUGGGCAUAAAGCGCAUGUAGGUGGUUUGAUAAGUCUGAUGUGAAAUCCCCGGACUCAAUUCGGGAAGUGCAUUGGAUACUGUCAGGCUAGAGUAUGGGAGAGGUGAGCGGAAUUCCAGGUGUAGAGGUGAAAUUCGUAGAUAUCUGGAGGAACAACAGAGGCGAAGGCGGCUCACUGGACCAUUACUGACACUGAGAUGCGAAAGCGUGGGGAGCAAACAGGAUUAGAUACCCGUGUAGUCCCUGAGCGGGCUGGCAAGGCGCAU